AAAUUUGAAACUGGUACUUUCAGUGCCCGAGUUGUAAUUUGUAGAAUUUGUCUUUGAUUAGGUCCUUGUAUAUGUUCCUUGGAACAGGACGUCAUAGAGGGUGAGAAUCCCGUUUGGCGAGGAUACCUUUUCUCUGUAAGACUUUUUCGAAGAGUCGAGUUGUUUGGGAAUGCAGCUCAAAGUGGGUGGUAAAUUCCAUCUAAAGCUAAAUAUUGGCGAGAGACCGAUAGCGAACAAGUACAGUGAUGGAAAGAUGAAAAGAACUUUGAAAAGAGAGUGAAAAAGUACGUGAAAUUGUUGAAAGGGAAGGGCAUUUGAUCAGACAUGGUGUUUUUUGCAUGCACUCGCCUCUCGUGGGCUUGGGCCUCUCAAAAAUUUCACUGGGCCAACAUCAAUUCUGGCAGCAGGAUAAAUCAUUAAGAAUGUAGCUACUUCGGUAGUGUUAUAGCUUUUUGGAAUACUGUUAGCCGGGAUUGAGGACUGCGCUUCGGCAAGGAUGUUGGCAUAAUGGUUAAAUGCCG
Molecule: ribosomal RNA, 521 nt
Filed under: Hanseniaspora uvarum
Lineage: Eukaryota; Fungi; Ascomycota; Saccharomycetes; Saccharomycodales; Saccharomycodaceae
Description: eukaryotic LSU rRNA
Rfam family: Eukaryotic large subunit ribosomal RNA
Source: RNAcentral